Molecule: ribosomal RNA, 432 nt
Filed under: uncultured Rickettsiales bacterium
Lineage: Bacteria; Pseudomonadati; Pseudomonadota; Alphaproteobacteria; Rickettsiales
Description: bacterial SSU rRNA
Rfam family: Bacterial small subunit ribosomal RNA
Source: RNAcentral
CGGGAGGCAGCAGUGGGGAAUAUUGGACAAUGGGGGAAACCCUGAUCCAGCAAUGCCGCGUGAGUGAUGAAGGCCUUCGGGUUGUAAAGCUCUUUUGUCAGGGACGAUGAUGACGGUACCUGACGAAUAAGCUCCGGCUAACUUCGUGCCAGCAGCCGCGGUAAUACGAGGGGAGCUAGCGUUGUUCGGAAUUACUGGGCGUAAAGGGCGUGUAGGCGGUACCAUAAGUCAGAUGUGAAAGCCCUGGGCUUAACCUAGGAUGUGCAUUUGAUACUGUGGAACUAGAGAUCGAGAGAGGAAAGUGGAAUUACGAGUGUAGAGGUGAAAUUCGUAGAUAUUCGUAAGAACACCAGUGGCGAAGGCGACUUUCUGGCUCGAUACUGACGCUAAGGCGCGAAAGCGUGGGGAGCAAACAGGAUUAGAUACCCCAGU